UGCAGUUUAUACUUUCUCUUACAAACAUAAAAAUUGAAAAUUGAAUAGAAUAGAAUAGAAUAGUAUUAAUCAGAGACUAAGAGCCUGGCAAUUCGGUAUAUUAAGAAUGAAAAAGAUUCUUUCAAUGCAUGACCUCCGUUUAUCUUUGCUAUUGAGGAAUGUAUCGCUUCAUUAAAGUGAAUUACUCAUCCAAGGCGUAAAUUCAAUGAUUACUCAUUAUCUUGAUCCAGAAUGAACUUCUUUUCAAUGCUCAAAAGUUAUAUGACUGACUUAUCUGGCUAAGGUAAUAUUAAAUAGAGCUAUGACAAACAAAGGUGUAUUGAUAGUAUAACCUCUAAAACCUUC
Non-coding RNA from Schizosaccharomyces pombe (fission yeast), 345 nucleotides. The record is from the annotation of a GenBank genome assembly. Lineage: Eukaryota; Fungi; Ascomycota; Schizosaccharomycetes; Schizosaccharomycetales; Schizosaccharomycetaceae.